This 495-nucleotide ribosomal RNA is filed under the name uncultured bacterium. Its description in RNAcentral is "partial 16S ribosomal RNA". It matches the Rfam family "Bacterial small subunit ribosomal RNA", at positions 28 to 507 of the family's 1533-position model. The record is from RNAcentral.
GACGAACGCUGGCGGCGUGCCUAAUACAUGCAAGUAGAACGCUGAAGGAGGAGCUUGCUUCUCCGGAUGAGUUGCGAACGGGUGAGUAACGCGUAGGUAACCUGCCUGGUAGCGGGGGAUAACUAUUGGAAACGAUAGCUAAUACCGCAUAACAGUAGAUAUUGCAUGAUAUCUGCUUGAAAGGUGCAAUUGCAUCACUACCAGAUGGACCUGCGUUGUAUUAGCUAGUUGGUGAGGUAACGGCUCACCAAGGCGACGAUACAUAGCCGACCUGAGAGGGUGAUCGGCCACACUGGGACUGAGACACGGCCCAGACCCCUACGGGAGGCAGCAGUAGGGAAUCUUCGGCAAUGGACGGAAGUCUGACCGAGCAACGCCGCGUGAGUGAAGAAGGUUUUCGGAUCGUAAAGCUCUGUUGUAAGAGAAGAACGAGUGUGAGAGUGGAAAGUUCACACUGUGACGGUAUCUUACCAGAAAGGGACGGCUAACUACGUG